UACGUAGGGUGCAAGCGUUGUUCGGAAUUAUUGGGCGUAAAGCGCGUGUAGGUGGUUAGUUAAGUCGAUUGUGAAAUCCCUGGGCUCAACCGAGGAAGUGCAGUCGAAACUAAUUAGCUAGAGGACGGUAGAGGAAGGUGGAAUUCCUAGUGUAGAGGUGAAAUUCGUAGAUAUUAGGAGGAAUACCGGCGGCGAAGGCGGCCUUCUGGGCCGUUCCUGACACUGAGACGCGAAAGCGUGGGUAG
This 245-nucleotide ribosomal RNA is filed under the name uncultured bacterium. Its description in RNAcentral is "partial 16S ribosomal RNA". It matches the Rfam family "Bacterial small subunit ribosomal RNA", at positions 524 to 768 of the family's 1533-position model. The record is from RNAcentral.